Molecule: ribosomal RNA, 253 nt
Filed under: uncultured bacterium
Lineage: Bacteria
Description: partial 16S ribosomal RNA
Rfam family: Bacterial small subunit ribosomal RNA
Source: RNAcentral
UACGUAGGGUGCGAGCGUUGUCCGGAAUUACUGGGCGUAAAGAGCUUGUAGGUGGUUUGUCGCGUUGUUCGUGAAAUCUCACGGCUCAACUGUGAGCGUGCGGGCGAUACGGGCAGACUAGAGUACUGCAGGGGAGACUGGAAUUCCUGGUGUAGCGGUGGAAUGCGCAGAUAUCAGGAGGAACACCGGUGGCGAAGGCGGGUCUCUGGGACGGUACUGACGCUGAGGCGCGAAAGCGUGGGGAGCGAACCGG